RNAcentral lists this ribosomal RNA (497 nucleotides) under uncultured bacterium. Its description in RNAcentral is "partial 16S ribosomal RNA". It matches the Rfam family "Bacterial small subunit ribosomal RNA", at positions 28 to 507 of the family's 1533-position model. The record is from RNAcentral.
GAUGAACGCUGGCGGCGUGCCUAAUACAUGCAAGUAGAACGCUGAAGGAAGGAGCUUGCUCUUUCCGGAUGAGUUGCGAACGGGUGAGUAACGCGUAGGUAACCUGCCUGGUAGCGGGGGAUAACUAUUGGAAACGAUAGCUAAUACCGCAUAACAGUAGAUGUUGCAUGAUAUCUACUUAAAAGGUGCAAUUGCACCACUACCAGAUGGACCUGCGUUGUAUUAGCUAGUUGGUGAGGUAACGGCUCACCAAGGCGACGAUACAUAGCCGACCUGAGAGGGUGAUCGGCCACACUGGGACUGAGACACCGCCCAGACUCCGACGGGAGGCAGCAGUAGGGAAUCUUCGGCAAUGGACGGAAGUCUGACCGAGCAACGCCGCGUGAGUGAAGAAGGUUUUCGGAUCGUAAAGCUCUGUUGUAAGAGAAGAACGAGUGUGAGAGUGGAAAGUUCACACUGUGACGGUAUCUUACCAGAAAGGGACGGCUAACUACGUG